RNAcentral lists this ribosomal RNA (323 nucleotides) under uncultured Actinomycetes bacterium. Its description in RNAcentral is "bacterial SSU rRNA". It matches the Rfam family "Bacterial small subunit ribosomal RNA", at positions 28 to 351 of the family's 1533-position model. The record is from RNAcentral. Lineage: Bacteria; Bacillati; Actinomycetota; Actinomycetes.
GACGAACGCUGGCGGCGUGCUUAACACAUGCAAGUCGAACGGUGAAGGAGAGCUUGCUCUCCGGAUCAGUGGCGAACGGGUGAGUAACACGUGAGCAACCUACCCUUGACUCUGGGAUAACAGUUGGAAACAGCUGCUAAUACCGGAUAUGACCCUGGCAGGCAUCUGCCGGGGUGGAAAGCCUUGACGGUCAAGGAUGGGCUCGCGGCCUAUCAGCUUGUUGGUGAGGUAACGGCUCACCAAGGCGUCGACGGGUAGCCGGCCUGAGAGGGCGACCGGCCACACUGGGACUGAGAUACGGCCCAGACACCUACGGGAGGCUG